Molecule: ribosomal RNA, 305 nt
Filed under: uncultured bacterium
Lineage: Bacteria
Description: bacterial SSU rRNA
Rfam family: Bacterial small subunit ribosomal RNA
Source: RNAcentral
UUUUCCUACGGGAGGCAGCAGUGGGGAAUAUUGCACAAUGGGCGAAAGCCUGAUGCAGCGACGCCGCGUGAAGGAUGAAGUAUUUCGGUAUGUAAACUUCUAUCAGCAGGGAAGAAAAUGACGGUACCUGACUAAGAAGCCCCGGCUAACUACGUGCCAGCAGCCGCGGUAAUACGUAGGGGGCAAGCGUUAUCCGGAUUUACUGGGUGUAAAGGGAGCGUAGACGGUCCUGCAAGCCAGAUGUGAAAGCCCGGGGCUCAACCCCGGGACUGCAUUUGGAACUGUAAGGCUAGAGUGUCGGAGAG